AAGUCGUAACAAGGUUUCCGUAGGUGAACCUGCGGAAGGAUCAUUAGCGAAGUUCGGAAUGCAUGUUCGGUGUUGAUGCUGCCCAGCAAUGGGAUGUGCUCGCUCGGAUGUGUGUCCCUUCUCUAUCCACCCCAUUGUGAACCAAGUGUGUGAGCCGAAGAGAAAUCGGACGCUCGCAUGCAAACCUUUAACAUACCCCAAUAAAGUAUCAGAAUGUACCUUGCGUUAACUCGCACAAAUAUAACUUUCAACAACGGAUCUCUUGGCUCUC
This 271-nucleotide unclassified non-coding RNA is filed under the name Peniophora albobadia. RNAcentral describes it as "partial internal transcribed spacer region". The stretch from base 1 to 46 matches the Rfam family "Eukaryotic small subunit ribosomal RNA", at positions 1786 to 1831 of the family's 1831-position model. The record is from RNAcentral. Lineage: Eukaryota; Fungi; Basidiomycota; Agaricomycetes; Russulales; Peniophoraceae.